RNAcentral lists this long non-coding RNA (8777 nucleotides) under Lactuca sativa (garden lettuce). RNAcentral describes it as "long non-coding RNA (LSAT_LNC003416)". Lineage: Eukaryota; Viridiplantae; Streptophyta; Magnoliopsida; Asterales; Asteraceae. The record is from RNAcentral.
AUAUAUAUAUAUAUCUGAAUGCUUCAAGCAAUCAAUCAUUCAUAAUACUAGCUACUACAUACUACCUACAUGGGUACUGUAAAAGGGCCUUCUGAUCCAAAAUACAACAAUGGAUAAAUGCCCUUUCAAUACACCAACAUGGAUAAAAAAAAAUCAGAAAAUUUAGAGUAAAACAUUUAUAAGAAAAGAACAUAUGGAAAAUUUGGUAUUUUACCAAUUAUUCUUCAUCAUAAUCUUCAUCUUCCUCAUCCAACCUUGAGUUGAUUUGUCCAAGAUUUCCAGUGUCAAUCACCAUCCUGUCCAUUUCCGAAAGCGAUGUCCCAAGAUAAUCUUCGUUUUUAACUUCAGCCGCCUCUGAGCCACCAUCACCACCACCAGGAACUGACUCUGGCGGCGGCGGCGGUGGUGGUGGUGCUCCUCCGUCUAACCCAUCGGAUGCUUUCUCCAUGUUCUCAUCAACCCCAGUAUUCAAAUCAAAGUCCCGACCACCAUCACUGAUCGCGGUGGGGGCAGCAGCGGCAGCAGUGGCGGCGGUGGUGGUGGUUGGUGGAAUCAAUGGCGUGCAGGAUUCGAGUUCAAUAUCUGUUUGGGGAGCCUCUCUAUCUGCUGAGCUUCUCCCCCGGCCCCUGCCCCUUCCUCUACCCCGCCCUCUCCCCCUACCAUUGCUGCCUGUUUGCCUUGCUUCAUUCUAAAACAAUGAGUAAAACAUUUCAAAUUAAGUAUUAAAUAAAUAGAUAGAAAAAGGGUAUAUACAAUUACAAAUUAUGGAAAAAAAAAGAGGGUUUUAGUUUUACCAUCCUGUUUCUUUUCAACUCUUCAUCACUUUCAUUUGUUUCAUCAGCAGCAAUCUUCCUGUGAAAAGAAAAAUCAAUGUUUAAUUAUUUAUCAGUUUAGUAAUUAGUAUUUCCAUUGACAAUUUGGCAUUGAAUAAAUAAUCUGAAAAUGGAUUUAUGAAAGUAGCUUACUUCCUCUUUACCAUGGUACGAUCAUCACCAGAACCAACAGCACCACCAGCAGCAGCAUCAGAAUGGCCAUAGUCAGGGACCUUGCUCACAACUUCCCUCAGAAAAUCAAAUACAUUGUAGCUUUGUACACAGUGCUUUCUGAACUCAACAAAAACAACAUUUCCAUGUGUUUUAAGUUUAACAAGCUAACAAGAAGAUCAAUGAAUUUUCAGAAAUGGUUUGGUUGGAAGGACUUACAAAUGCAGUGAGUUAACAGUUUUUGCACCUCUGCGUAGAGUUAUAUCAUAUGUUCUGUCACAAAGAUCUUGCAGAAACAAUUCCAAAGCUUUUGCUGAAUAAUAUUACAAAAGAAUAACAAGUAAGAACCAUUCAAAAGCUUUUGCUAGUAAAAGGUUAUACUAGAAACUUACAAACUAAAACUGGAACAGCCAUGGCGAUUUUUCCAACGUCUUCAUCAGCUUGCAUUAUCUUUUUGAUCCGAGCCUGCAGCAUAUAAUACAAUCACUCCAAAAUAUCAGAUUACAUCCUGCAAAUACUUAAAGAAACCAAUUGAUUUUCUGAUGUUAAUUUACACCAACAACAAUAUUCCUUUUGCGCUAGGUCAUUUUCUUUUCUUGCGAAGGCUGUGAAUCCAUAUCAAUUUUGAAGUUAAAAACAUGUCAAAAACAACAAUUAUGAUUAUGACAUCAGUAAUCCCAAAGCGAAGUAAAGAUCUUCCAUAGGAAUAAGCUACGAUUAUAGCAUCUUCAAUACCACACAUACUACAAAUACCAGACACCUAAAGCGCAUGCUUAUUAUGUGAAAUGGCAUAAAACCUUGAAAGAGGAACACUUACAGCAGGGAAACGCGUAUCGAGCUUCUUCUUCAUGGCGUUAAUACACCAAUAAACACAAUUUGAAGAAUUAAUUUAAGAGGAAAUUCAACAAAAGGCGCGUGGGAGCAGAUCUGAUCUCGAAGAAUCACAGUGGCGGAGAAGUCUCUGCGUUGCAGAUCUGGUUCGUAGUUUGGAUCAAAUUCGAGUUACGACCAGUAAUUUCACAGAUCCGUAAAGGCUCGAGUUUGGAGAACAUCAGAAAAAGGUUGACAAAAGAUAUGAAAGAAAAGAAAGAAAAGGAUGAUAAUGUUUUUAAUUAUUAUUAAUUUUUAAUUUUAUUUUAGAAUAUUCUAAAAAUAACUUUGGAACUUUUUAUGUUAUAAUUUUCUUUCAUGAUAAAAAAUCGAUUACAAGUUACCAACAAAAUAAUUUAUUUUUAAGUGCCUAAUAAGUCAAUUGAUUACGGUUAUCAUUUACCAACAAAUUAAUCUAUUUUCAAAUCUCUUCUUUGUUCUAAUAAAAGAAUAAUUUUAGUUUUUUUUAAUGUGUUAUCUUAUGGGAUAAUGACUUAAUAUGUGCCUAAUAAGUCAAUUGACAUCCCUAUUUGUCGGCAUGCCGCCUUAACCCAAUCGCUCUUCUCGAGCAUCUGUGCCUAUGGCUUACAGCUGGCCCGCACUACAACAUAUAGCAGACUCACCUCAACCUAUCCCACCACCAUAUGGCUAUUUACGUAAGAUGUUGUGAGAAAAACCUAAAGAAAUUAUUUAUAAGUACCGAAUGAAUACAAAAACAAAAAUGACUUAUUUUAAAAAUAUAUAUAUAUUAAGGAUUAAAUGUCUACAAAGUGAAAAAUAUAUUACCCUAUUAAGUCAUUUUUACCGGCUAAAUGUGUACAGUUUAACAAGUUUAAGGGAUAAAUGUGGACGAAAAAAAAGUCAAUGACUAAAUUUGUACAAAUCAAAAAAUAUAUUACCCUUUUAAGCCUAGGUUAUUCUAUUAAAACUAAUUAUUGUAUUAUUGUAUGCAUAAAUGUGGGUCAAUCAUUUUACUUAUUUUAAGAAAGUGAUUAAUACAUAUUAUUGAAUUAAAUAUAAUUGAUAAAUACCAUCAAAUUUAACUAGAAGGGUAUUUUAGUCAAUUAAUAUAGAUUUAAUAAAGGAAAUUUGCAUAUUUUAAGGGAUCAUAGAUUCUAUUAAUUUUAAAAAUCCGAUUUUAUGAAUUAUAAGGUUUUUAAUUUGGACAUUCUGACAGAAUAUGUUUGAGUAUGUUCAAAAAUAAAAAUAUUUUAGAACUAUAAAAUAAUAAAUAAUCUUGAUCAUGACUUUAAAAAUUUAUUGUAGAAUAACAAAUUCUCGAACAAGCAAUUGAAGAAUUAAAACAAGCAAUUGAAGAAUUAAGUCCACAUUGUCGGUUACCUUAUUCUUCUUAUCUUAAUCAAAACAAAUGGCAAUGUUAAUUUAGAUUUAUAUGCAAGAGGAACAAGCAAAUGAACAAGCUGAAACAAAAAAAUUACUUGCUAAAUAAACCAAUUUCAAAGUUGUGCGCAGUGCAAACAAAGAAAUUUAAAAAAAUCAACAAAGAUACGUAAAAGCCUCUAAUCAAAAACGAUUUCUUUUCAAUUGAAUUGAAAAUAAUUUAUAAUAGUUAUUAAAAUUGAGUAACCGACCUUGAAAAGAAAAUGGAGAUGGAAAACUUUUUGGAUAUUAUAGGCAUCAGUGGUGGAGAUGGCGUGAUUAUAGGAGAAGCAUCGGUGGUGGAGAUGUGUAUUAUCCUUAAAUGCAAACAUAGGUACAAAAACCAUCUUCAAGGAUCUGAUGUGUGUAGUAGAGAAUUCCGAUGCCAGAGAACUAAACAAGAAAUUGACACAAGGUUGGAUUUAAUCGAAGAACCCUAAUUUAGACGUAAGAAAUACAAACCUCCAGUGCCUGAUUCAACUGAUUGAAAAUCAUAAGAGAGCAAUCAGAGCACUUCAUAAAACACUCAACAAAACCAACACAGCAGUUAUGAGAAGGAUCACAAAUUGGAAGCACAAUAUAAGCCAACAAUUCGCACUCCAUAGCUGAGCGAACCAGUGGACACCCUUGGUGAGCUUUCAGAUCAAGAACUAUCUCCGACAAUUGGUUCAGGAACGCACUGGCUGGUGCACCAGUAAUGAUCAUUGGGUCAUCUUCUACAUCAUGCUUAUCGACAUCAAUAUUACACCGAUACUUGAGAGAAGAUAACCUACUGAGACUCUCGAUCUCAGCGCUAAACACGAUAACAAGUACCCCCCUUGCGAUCGAUCGAAAUGUUCCGCUCUAUGAAGAACACAAUGAAGGGCAAACCCACAAAGGGUCGCUGGUGUCGAUUUGUUCAAUUUAGGGUUUUCAGAAUAGGGUUUUUAGAUAAAGAGGUGAACGAGAUUUAAAUUGGAGAGAUACCAUGAUUCUAGGGAUUAUUUUUGGAAGUUAUUAAUCAAAUGACUAAAUUACCCUUAUAUAUUUAUUUAAUUAUUUAAUUUUUUAUUUAAUUUUGAUUGGCCCACAUGUAUGCAUACGAUAACACAAUACUUAGUUUAAACAAAUGAACCUAGCUCUACCCUUUUAAGUCAUAAGGACUAAAUGUGUACAAAUCAAUUAAUGCAUAUUUUAUUCUUUUUUUUUUUAUCAUGUGUCACUCUAUUAUGACUCCUAAUUAAUAAUUACACUUGUCAACUUAUUGAUUAUUCAUUUUAGAGUAAAUUACUAAAAUCGUCCCUGUGGUUUGGUCAAAAUUGCACGUUUGGUCCCUAACUUUUUUUUUGCACUCGGAUCGUCCCUGUGGUUUGAUUUUGUUGCGUUUUUCGUCCCUAUGGUUUGGUAAAAGUUGCAUGNAACAAAAUCAAACCACAGGGACGAUCCGAGUGCAAAAAAAGUUAGGGACCAAACGUGCAAUUUUGACCAAACCAUAGGGACGAUUUUAGUACUUUACUCUUCAUUUUAAAUUUUAAAUUUUAAAUUUCUCACUCUAUCUACAUUAAAUUAAUAGCAUUAAAAUAAAAUUAAUACAAAUUAUGAAGUGAUAUAAUUUCACAUAUUUAUUUAAAUCAAUGAUUAUAAUUUUAUACAACUAAAAAAUCUUUUAAUUAAUAAUUUAUUUAAAAUAAUUGAUUAAUAACUUAAAAUUUUUACUAUAAAAUUUUAAUUAAUAUUGUAAUCGUGGUUCCUACGGAUUACAAACUAGUAUCUAAUAAGUUUUUUUUUUUUUUUUGUUAGGAUCUUAUUACAGAUAUAUCUCUUAAAAUGUAAAUUGACUUGAUAUAGAGUUUUUUCCAUAUUAAAUUUAUUGUGUUUGCAUGUUAAUUUAAUUUCUUACUACUUACUAAAUAUUUAUAAUAGAAAGAUUGACAAUAUGACCAUUAUAUUUUUAUUUGUAAAAUAGGCAAAUAUUAAGGUUGCGGCUUGUCAAGGAAGAUCCUAUCAAAAUGAAUGUUCUCAAAUUUUCAUGUAAGGGGUCACUGCCAUUUAUAAAUUCAUGUUGAUUAAGACAUCAAUUGUGAAAUCAACUUUAGCUUUUUUAACGGUAAUCAUAUAUAUGUAGAUGCAAACCACGACAAUUACAAAAAAAAACAUCUUAAGCAUAAAAUAAACAAGAUCAUCAGACACGAUAUCACAAAGGAACUAACCUACAUGGCUUACUCUUGUGCCAAAUUCGAUAAUUGGAUGAGUUCUGAUGCUUUAUGAGGUUUCAUUUGAUUUACAAUCGUUUCAAGUUGAAUGCACAAAGUUUUAAGAUUCGAAAAUGGUUUAUGCAUUGCAUGGUUUUAGUUUAGCAAAAUGGUGAAUCUAUUAGGGUUUAUAAGACUAGUGACUUGAAUACAGAAUAAAGACUAAAAAGAUGAUAUUUGGUUCAGAUAUGAUCUUAAGAUCCUAAUAUCUCAGUACACAUCUUGUUUCCUAGAUGGUUAUUUUGUAAAUGUGUUUAUCCUAACUAUUUUCGUAGAAUUUAAAUUCAUAGUGUCAUAAACUUCUUAAGUGAUUACAAAUAGUCCGUGUUCAAGAUAUUUUUGGUAUUGAAGUGAUCGACAUGUCAAUUUUUGCUCAAUGUGAUGUUUAAGUAGUUAAGUGGCACUUUAGUCAUCAAUAAAGUGAAAAUCAUAUUUUUUUUCACAAACAACAUUUUAAUCUUCUACUCUAUCGAUACCAAACUUUUAUAAAUUUACAUGCAUUAAUUGAAAUGGUGAAAUGAUUAAUUAUUUUACGAUGUUGUUGUGAAAUGUUCAGUGGCAUGGACCAUGGACAACACAUGAAGCGGAUUUAUAAGUUAUCCUUAUUUUUAGGUAAAAUGUAUGUUCAAUCGAUACAUUUAAGAGUUAAAAUUAAGUGGGAAUUGAUCCGUACACAAUAAAAUUUCUCCAUACACAACAAUUUGUGCUCUAAAAUGUUGUAAUGUACAACUCUAUUAAACACAAAUUGUUGAGUACGAAUCACUUCCCAAAUUAAAUGUUUAAUAUUUUUUGUUUAUUUUCAUGAUUAACACAAAAGAUUCAGUUUCUUCAAGUGGAUUGACCACACAUUUUCCAACUUAAUUGGAUAAAAAUAUGGUUCAUGAAAUAGUCUAAAUUGGAGAGAAAAAAUAAUUUCUAAAACCAGUUGGAACAAAGGAUUGCGAUGGUGUUGUUAGUAAGAGUUGUAUUAAUAUUGAUUUUAGUACUUCUAAUAACCACUUUUGGAAAUUGUUUUUGUUAUUAAAGGUGCAUAUAUUUCCUUACCAUAUAUCUAUUAUUAUGUUUUGUUAAUGUUCCUCUAAUGUACUUUCCUAUUAUGGUAUUGAACUUGUUCAAUGGUAAUAUAAAUUUUGAUCAUAACAUUAAUUUUGGUAAUGAUAAUGUACUUGUAAUGUUCACCAACGACAACAAUAAUGUACUUUCUUGUAUUGUAUGGUAGUAUACUUGUAAUAGCGUGUAACAUACUUUCCUUAACAUGCACUUGGUAUGGUAAUGUACUUGUAACAUUUAUUUACUUUCCAUACUUGCGGUAUAUUCCAUAUAGUCAUACAUACAUUGCACAUUUUGCAUACAUACAUAUAUACCCUAGAUUUUAUACAUACACUUCAUUCCAUUUUGUAUAUAUAUUUAAAAAAAAAAAAAAAAGGAAUGAUCAUGUUGUUUGUCGGCAUUUUGAUGCAAAUAGAAAGUCAUUAGCAACCUAUUUAAACUAAACAAAAUAAAUGGAAAGUAGACAUCAAAAUGUUUCAAUAGAUAGCAUAAAAAGCAUUAAAUUUUGGAGAAGAUCAUAUACAAAAAAGAGUUGACAAGAUCAUAUACAUUAUUUACAAGAAUACGAUAAUCACAACCUCUAGUUUUUUUUUAUUACUUUUACCAAGGAUUGGUGUCGUUGUAUAGAGAGCAUGCAAUGGAUGAAGUUAGGACGUAUGAUUAACUUCUACACAACUUCUUCCUCUAGUUUUUUUUUUUUUUUUUUUUUUUUUUUUUUUUUUUUUUUUUUUUUUUUUGUCAAGGAAUAGGGUAAUUGCUUCAUCAUGCUACAUUUUUGCUUCUCCAGCCAACUUUCUUGCAACUAAAAUCCCAAAAUAUACAAAAUAAACAAUGUACUUUCAUUCUUCUUUCUCGUUCCAUAAACCAUAUACCAUUACCAAAAACCAAGGAUAAAAGAUAAGGUUUUCUUGGAAGUUUUCUGGUGAUCAAACUCAAGAAGCAUAAAACAGCAGGAGAAAUGUCAACCUUGAAUCCCAAAUGAUUUAUCUGUUUGUGAAACUCAACUGUGAAGGUGUAUUUAUUCAAAAUCCUUUCUGUUAUUGAUGGUGUGGAAUUUACCUACUCUAAGUGUGUUACGUGUGUAGUUGUCUGGUUGUUGUUUCAAAGACCAAAGCUUUUCCUAAUAAUACUCAUCCAACAUUUCCUUAUCCUUCCAUUUAAAAUAUUUGCCUCUUUAAUUUUCUGUAGACGCAAAAACAGGAAUGUAGUUUUCCUUAUGACUCAUUUAGGGCUUCAUAAACAACACUCUACAAAUGUUGAACUUCAUCUAUGUCACCUAUUUAAAAGGAGAAAUGUUAAUUUAAUGACCUAUUGAGCAAAAAAAUAACAUUGAUGACCAAAUCGGGACAAAACACAUAGUUUGUUGUGCUACAAUGUUAUUUUCCCAACAUAUCCAAGGUAAUCACAUAACUGCAUCCAAGAUAAAUCACACAGCUAACAGUUACCAGAACAUGUCAUGGUUUCAUCAUGGGACAGAAGCUCACUUGCAUUGCAUGUAAAACAUACAUAUCCAAGACGACACCAUUUUAGUAAAUAAUCUGAAAAUUAAAUUUGUUUAAAUAUGUAAUGUGAUGUGAGUUAUAUUCGACACCUUGGAUAAAUCUACUAAUAACACAUAAGGUUGUUGACAGAUUUCCCAUUUCAGUUUUUAUAUAUAUAUAUAUAUAUANNNNNNNNNNNNNNNNNNNNNNNNNNNNNNNNNUAUAUAUAUAUCUGAAUGCUUCAAGCAAUCAAUCAUUCAUAAUACUACCUACUACCUACUACCUACAUGGGUACUGUAAGGGCCUUCAGAUUCAAAAUACAACAACACAUAAAUGCCCUUCCAAUACACCACCAAAGAUUAAAAAAAAAAAGAGAGAGAGAGAGAGAGAAUUAAGGGUAAACAUUUAUAUAAAAAAACAUAUGUAAGAUUUGGUAUUCUACCAGUUAUUCUUCAUCAUAGUCUUCAUCUUCCUCAUCCAACCUUGAGUUAAUUUGUCCCAAAUUUCCAGUGUCAAUCACCAUCCUGUCCAUUUCCGAAAGCGACCCCCCAAGAUAUUCUUCGUUUUUUACUUCAGCCGCCUCUGAACCACCAUCUCCACCACCACCAGGAACGGACUCCGGCAGCGGUGGAGGUGGUGGUGCUCCUCCGGCUAACCCAUCGGAUGCUUUCUCCAUAUUCUCAUCAACCCCGGCAUUCAAAUCAAAGUCCCGACCACCAUCACUGAUCGCGGUGGUGGCAGCAGCGGCGGUUGUGGCGGCGGUGGUGGUGGUUGAUGGAAUC